AACGAACGCUGGCGGCGUGCCUAACACAUGCAAGUCGUGCGAGAAAGUUCCUUCGGGAGCGAGUAAAGCGGCGCACGGGUGAGUAACACGUAGGUAACCUGCCCCCCAGUCUGGAACAACUAGAGGAAACUCUAGCUAAUGCCGGAUAAGACCACGGCCCCCUCGGGGGCUGCGGCCAAAGAUGGCCUCUACUUGUACGCUAUCGCUGAGGGAUGGGCCUGCGGGCCAUUAGCUUGUUGGUGAGGUAACGGCUCACCAAGGCUGUGAUGGCUAGCUGGUCUGAGAGGAUGACCAGCCACACUGGGACUGAGACACGGCCCAGACUCCUACGGGAGGCAGCAGUGGGGGAAUAUUGCGCAAUGGGCGAAAGCCUGACGCAGCGACGCCGCGUGGGUGAUGAAGGCCUUCGGUCGGU
This 415-nucleotide ribosomal RNA is filed under the name uncultured bacterium. Its description in RNAcentral is "bacterial SSU rRNA". It matches the Rfam family "Bacterial small subunit ribosomal RNA", at positions 28 to 426 of the family's 1533-position model. The record is from RNAcentral.